Molecule: long non-coding RNA, 1598 nt
Organism: Myotis brandtii (Brandt's bat)
Lineage: Eukaryota; Metazoa; Chordata; Mammalia; Chiroptera; Vespertilionidae
Exons: 7
Source: RefSeq, a predicted model, not a curated record
GAUAACCACAUGUAGUGCCUCGCCCUGUUUGAGAUAAACGUGUGCAUUGACGUAAUUCACUGAUAGCCACCUGGGCGGCUGCAAACGGGGUACAGGCUUUAAAAGUGGGAUUCAAAGCAGCCCAGUGCUCACCUGUCGAGACAGCCACAAAGGCACGUCCUCUUGUCAGUCUGGCAAGCGACACCGCUCCACACUCCUCUCUCUGCUAGAUGAUAGAAGAAUGGCCAGUACCUCCCGAUCGAGACGGUCGAGCUCUGGGGUGAGGAAUGCUGGCCCCCUGCAUCCGGACCAGACCAGCCUUAGCUGCCAGACCCCAGAGGACAGCACCACCGGGAUCCCAUUUAAGCCUGUACCCUCAGCAGCAGGAAUUGUUGUGACCUGCAUUUGUGGCUCACAUUUUGAUUUUUGGGGAGUCCUGGCCCAAAUGACCUCCAAAGUGGCGAUAUGAAACUCACCCCAACAGCGAUGCUUCUGAACUCCCUGAGAUUCUUGCUAACAUGUGAUGCAUCGGAGAGAACGCCUGCCACCAAGAAAGUGAGAAGAGCAACUGAUUGAAGAGUGCAAUUGAUUUGAAAAUAACAAUCUGAGCCACACUGUAAACUGGUGGCAGCCCGUUGUUCUCUGAAAUUCCGAGGACAGAUAGAGGCUCCUUUGGAACUGAGCGUGCUGAUCCAGCACUUCCCUUGGCUCCCUACCAAGAGCAUAAACAUCUGUGCUUUAAAAAUCUGAACCCAGACUUAAAAAAAACACUCCACAACUUUAAAUACAUUCUACAAUGCUUUACAGAAGCAAACAAAAACAACAAAGCCAUAACAUCACAAUGAUUAAAAAGCUGGUUUUUGUUUAAAACACUCAGCGUGGACUGGACACACGAAUGUUCCUAACCUGCCAACUGAUUUCCCCACAUUAUAUCAGGUGCGCACUGUAAUAUCUGCUUCAUGAGAAGACCAGGCGCUCCCACGGGGACUCCUGAAAGCCCUGCCAACAGGAGAGCGGCCAGCUGCCACUGGGGGCAGGUCGGGCUGGGACAGAGAACUGGAGAGCGUCUGGCCCAUGGACAUGCCCUGCAGAGCUGUGCAGAGAACUGAGAUGGAAGAAAACACUCAGGAUUAUGCGGUGGGAACGAAGGAGAGCUUCUAACCCACAAAUAUGUCCCUAUCGAUCUGCACAGGCUCUGACUUCACACAGAGCUUCACUUUACAUAAGAAAUAGAACCUGAAGUCAGUGUAUGUGACAUAUUGUGAAAAAUCCUAUAUUAUAAAAAGCCCAUGGUCAUGAUGCCCUCACACCAUAAUGACUGGUCACCAGGAGGCUGCGUGCGUGGCAAGGCACAUAGGAUUAAAACAGAAAAAUUAUUACUGAAUGGGAAACCCAAUAAAAAGCCCUAUUAUUGGAAAGAAAAGGAGAUUCUGCAUUCACUUCUAGUUAAAGCUAGAACAUGGACGAUGAAGGCUGUGACCAUCAACUAGAGAGAGACUGGCUGCUGAUGCUGGGAAUUCAGGGAUCAGACAGUUAGAAAGCAACUCAGAGAUUUUAGAGGGAAAAGGGGCACAUGCACAUACAUACCUACACGGAUUCAUGCAAGCAGCUCUCUCCAU